GGUCAUUUUUGGGGUUACUUUAGGUCAUUUUUGGGGUUACUCGAGGUCAUUUUGGGGUCACUGGGGUCAUUUUUGGGGUUACUUUAGGUCAUUUUUGGGG
This is a long non-coding RNA of Corvus hawaiiensis (hawaiian crow), 100 nucleotides long. RefSeq lists it as uncharacterized. NCBI's taxonomy places the organism in Eukaryota, Metazoa, Chordata, Aves, Passeriformes, Corvidae. The transcript has 3 exons. The record is from RefSeq and is a predicted model, not a curated record.